AGUGAACGCUGGCGGUAUGCCUAACACAUGCAAGUCGAACGGCAGCACAGUAAGAGCUUGCUCUUACGGGUGGCGAGUGGCGGACGGGUGAGGAAUACAUCGGAAUCUACUUUUUCGUGGGGGAUAACGUAGGGAAACUUACGCUAAUACCGCAUACGACAUACGGGUGAAAGCAGGGGAUCUUCGGACCUUGCGCGAUUGACUGAGCCGAUGUCGGAUUAGCUAGUUGGCGGGGUAAAGGCCCACCAAGGCGACGAUCCGUAGCUGGUCUGAGAGGAUGAUCAGCCACACUGGAACUGAGACACGGUCCAGACUCCUACGGGAGGCAGCAGUGGGGAAUAUUGGACAAUGGGCGCAAGCCUGAUCCAGCAAUACCGCGUGGGUGAAGAAGGCCUUCGGGUUGUAAAGCCCUUUUGUUGGGAAAGAAAAGCAGCAGGUUAAUACCCCGCUGUUCUGACGGUACCCAAAGAAUAAGCACCGGCUAACUUCGUG
This 492-nucleotide ribosomal RNA is filed under the name uncultured bacterium. RNAcentral's name for it is "partial 16S ribosomal RNA". It matches the Rfam family "Bacterial small subunit ribosomal RNA", at positions 29 to 507 of the family's 1533-position model. The record is from RNAcentral.